This is a non-coding RNA of Neolamprologus brichardi, 287 nucleotides long. The record is from RefSeq and is a predicted model, not a curated record. Lineage: Eukaryota; Metazoa; Chordata; Actinopteri; Cichliformes; Cichlidae.
GGGGUCUGGAUCUGUCCCGGGUUCGAGCCUGCGUGGUGGUGGCAGAGGAGAGGCCCAGGAUGGCGCUCACACUCUCUUUCUCUAAGCUCUUCAAAGACCUCGGCCUUCACCCGCGCUCUGUCAGCACAGCCUUCGGCUGCAGAGUCAACCUGGCCAUUUGCCUGCAGGGCACUUCAGGGCCGGACCCCACUACUGUGUACGUAGACAUGAGAGCGCUGCGUCACGACAGGGUUCGAUUAGUGGAGCGAGGUUCUCCUCACAGUCUCCCCUUGAUGGAGUCUGGCAAG